Long non-coding RNA from Brassica napus (rape), 2057 nucleotides. RefSeq lists it as uncharacterized. The transcript has 10 exons. The record is from RefSeq and is a predicted model, not a curated record. NCBI's taxonomy places the organism in Eukaryota, Viridiplantae, Streptophyta, Magnoliopsida, Brassicales, Brassicaceae.
UGUGUAGUAUCUCACCGUUUCAACUCCUAUCAUUUUUGUAAAUCAAUAUACUUCUGAUUCUCCUAGAAAUACUCAAUUCCAGAUAUUAGCAUAUGAUGAAAACAGUUUCUUCAAAACCUCCGAGAUGUCGUUACCUUAUCUUUUGAGCACCAUCAGAGUUUGAGAGGUUUGCAGUGUGUUGGAGGCUUGGAGCGAUGGUGAUCUUCGCGCCGAAACCGAUCUGUUUUCUCUGCGUUCCCCAUCUAUGUUUUCGCCGGUAAAUUGUUUCCAUCGUUCGCUUCGGCUUGCUUACCGCCUUAGGAAACAGUGCGUGCUGUGAGGUCCCAGAAGAUUCCACAACAGACAGACCUUAAUCGGCCUCCUCUAUUUACAGAUUUCCUGAGAAAUUUUUGUCCAGCCGCAGUAAAAUUGGCCUAAUGGAGACUGAAAUGAUGGAGAUUUGAUGCAGUACUUGUCCUUCAUGGGAGACUCGCCACAAAUAGUAAGGGGACGGAGCACAGAAACCAGGAGACGAUGACACGCUACUUUGAGAUGCUUCUGUGAACAAGUUUUCCAGCAGAGUAUGGAUGACGACAUGAGGCAAGCUAUGAACAAAAAAAAAAGUGAUAUUCAUGGACAGUACUCGGGUCGGUUGAGGCUGUUUGAAUACAGAGGCUUCCCUCCUACAGCUAACUGCUUAUUCUUGGGAGAUUACGUGGACCGAAGGUAGCAGAGUUUGGAGACGAUCUGUCUUCUACUUUUCUACAAAAUCAAAUACCCGUGAACCUUUUAUUUCUGAGAGGAAACCACGAAUGAGCUUCCAUCAAGAGAAUCUACGGAUUCUACAAUGGAUUCAACCGUAGAUUCAGUGUGAGACUCUCAAAAGUGUUUACAGAUUCUUUUGAGUGCCUCCUGUAGCUGCUGCAAUAGCCAUAAGAUAUUAUGCAUGCAUUCCUUUCUCCUGAUUUGACAACCGUGGAACAGAUUACAAACAUUAAGCGACCUACUGACGUUCCAGACUCUGGUCAGCUCUGUGGUCUGCUUUGAUCUGAUCAAGCAAAGAUGUCAAAGCUGGUGGAUGAACCACCGUGGAGUCUCUUACACGUUUGGACCUGAAAAGGUCGUUGAGCUUCUAAUAAAAAACGAUAUGGAUCUCAUCUGUAAUGCUCAAUAGAGGAUGAUUAUGACUUUUUCCUGAACGACCGCUUGCUAUUAUACUUUAUGCUCUUAACUACGGUGGUGACUUCGACAAUGCUGGUGCAGUGAUAAGUGUUGAUGAAAGGGUACUCUUUCCAAAUUUUUAAGCAUGUGGAUCGGAGGCCCUGGUUCUUAUGAUCAAAAGAGGUACUUCAAGUACCUUCUUGAUUCGGUCUUUUAGAUUCGCAGGUAGCAGUAGUCUUUCAUCUAAAAUAACGUAGCAAGCAACCUCAUAGAAAAGCUGCUGUAUAUCAAUUCUAAAAUUGUGUAGAGUAUGACACCAGCUCUCACUAUUUGCGUACACAAUGCUUAAGAAUUGUGAUGACAAGAAGAUCAAGAAGAUUUGUGAUGUAAAUUCAGAUCCUUCAAGAACUACUGAAAAUGUGAACGGAGAAGUACCUGAAGCAGCUCAUCGCUGCGGUUGCCAGUGGUAGUAACUAGUCAUGAGUCGAGCCCUGUAGCUAGAUGUCGAAGAGUAUAUUCUCAUGCUCAUGAUUAUCGUAUCAAUUCUAUCUCAAAUAACAGUGACGGCGAAACAUUUAUUUCUGCUGAUGAUUUGCGAAUAAAUCUUUGGAAUCUGGAAAUUACCAAUCAAAGUUUUAACAUUGUUGAUGUCAAGCCUAAGAAAAUGGAAGAUCUAUCUGUUUGAACCUUUCGGGGAAAGAAGACGAAAUUGGCAAACAUGAAACCAGGCAAGAGACUUAUGACGGUACUUGAGACUUUGUCCUUUUAGGCCUUGCAAGGAGGCUUAAAAUGCAUUUUACAUGUUAUACCAUAUCUUCAUGAAUACUCACUAUUUUUUUUUCUCAAAACUUUGUGUUUUAAUGAUCUUCUCUGACUCAUAUUGGACAGUAAAAAGUCUACAAAGUUUUAUUUUUCCA